This is a small nucleolar RNA of Tachyglossus aculeatus (Australian echidna), 137 nucleotides long. NCBI's taxonomy places the organism in Eukaryota, Metazoa, Chordata, Mammalia, Monotremata, Tachyglossidae. The record is from RefSeq and is a predicted model, not a curated record.
CCCCUCUUAGGGUCUCACUUGGAGAGUUUCAGUACUCUACCAGUCCAAACCAUGGGAGGGCCAGUCAAGCAGAGGUCUACCCAUUCCAUUCCUAGCUUGACCAGGGGCUAGUGAGUGGAAGGCAAUCUGCUUCAAGG